ACGCACGCUGGCGGCAUGCCUAACACAUGCAAGUCGAACGAGACCUUCGGGUCUAGUGGCGCACGGGUGCGUAACGCGUGGGAACCUGCCCUUAGGUUCGGAAUAACUCCCCGAAAGGGGUGCUAAUACCGGAUAAUGUCUUCGGACCAAAGAUUUAUCGCCUUUGGAUGGGCCCGCGUUGGAUUAGCUAGUUGGUAGGGUAAAAGCCUACCAAGGCGACGAUCCAUAGCUGGUCUGAGAGGAUGAUCAGCCACACUGGGACUGAGACACGGCCCAGACUCCUACUGGAGGCAGCAGUGGGGAAUAUUGGACAAUGGGCGAAAGCCUGAUCCAGCAAUGCCGCGUGAGUGAUGAAGGCCUUAGGGUUGUAAAGCUCUUUUACCCGGGAUGAUAAUGACAGUACCGGGAGAAUAAGCUCCGGCUAACUCCGUG
Molecule: ribosomal RNA, 432 nt
Filed under: uncultured bacterium
Lineage: Bacteria
Description: partial 16S ribosomal RNA
Rfam family: Bacterial small subunit ribosomal RNA
Source: RNAcentral